Molecule: long non-coding RNA, 686 nt
Organism: Folsomia candida
Lineage: Eukaryota; Metazoa; Arthropoda; Collembola; Entomobryomorpha; Isotomidae
Exons: 2
Source: RefSeq, a predicted model, not a curated record
AGAUUGAAGACGGGUUGUGUUUCAGAGUAAAAAUUGUUGGGGUCUUGUUCCUAAACAAGAAGUAUCUUCUGGAAAAUUCAAUUCGAAAUCCUGGUCAAAAAAGAGAUGAAAACAGUCAUUUCUGUGGUCAUAUUUGGCUUAUUAGCCAUCCUUCUUAUUAGCGGGGCAAACGGAAAUCCGGUUCAAGCAGAAGGAAUUAGAGCGGACAUUGCUGAACUGCGAUGUGUCGGAUUUCUUGUUAACAAACUUGGAAUUUGUAGGGCCACCUACCAAGAAUGCCUUCCUAACCUUCCAAUGAUCUCGUUCUCAUGUCCCCGAGAAUUUUUAGUUUGUUGCCCAAAUCCGGAUUGACAAGAACAAGGGUGAAGUUGUACGAAACAGGUUGAACGACGUAGUUUAUUCAUAAAUAUAGGUACUAGCCGAUUACGUUAUGUAGAGGAUGUUAUUUGCAAAUAAAUCAAAUUUGGUUCAUUAAAAUAUCUUCUAUAUUAUAAUUCCGAAAAGUCUGUCCCGUCAAAAUUUAUGUGACCUUCCUGCAUUCUGAAUGACUGUUCCCCGUCUAGCCCAACCAAUCAGAAAAGGGAUACUAAUUUUGAUUGUCAUUAUGAUUGUGAUUAUGAUUAUGCAUAAGUAUGGUUUUGAUAAUGAUUAUGAUUAUGAAUAAGAAAAUAUUGAUUAUACAAAAA